Molecule: ribosomal RNA, 700 nt
Filed under: Aspergillus sp. ACR-PR
Lineage: Eukaryota; Fungi; Ascomycota; Eurotiomycetes; Eurotiales; Aspergillaceae
Description: SSU rRNA
Rfam family: Eukaryotic small subunit ribosomal RNA
Source: RNAcentral
CGUGACGCAGUCUAGUAUAGCAUCUAUACUGUGAAACUGCGAAUGGCUCAUUAAAUCAGUUAUCGUUUACUUUGAUAGUACCUUACUACAUGGAUACCUGUGGUAAUUCUAGAGCUAAUACAUGCUAAAAACCCCGACUUCGGGAGGGGUGUAUUUAUUAGAUAAAAAACCAAUGCCCCUCGGGGCUCCUUGGUGAAUCAUAAUAACUUAACGAAUCGCAUGGCCUUGCGCCGGCGAUGGUUCAUUCAAAUUUCUGCCCUAUCAACUUUCGAUGGUAGGAUAGUGGCCUACCAUGGUGGCAACGGGUAACGGGGAAUUAGGGUUCGAUUCCGGAGAGGGAGCCUGAGAAACGGCUACCACAUCCAAGGAAGGCAGCAGGCGCGCAAAUUACCCAAUCCCGACACGGGGAGGUAGUGACAAUAAAUACUGAUACGGGGCUCUUUUGGGUCUCGUAAUUGGAAUGAGUACAAUCUAAAUCCCUUAACGAGGAACAAUUGGAGGGCAAGUCUGGUGCCAGCAGCCGCGGUAAUUCCAGCUCCAAUAGCGUAUAUUAAAGUUGUUGCAGUUAAAAAGCUCGUAGUUGAACCUUGGGUCUGGCUGGCCGGUCCGCCUCACCGCGAGUACUGGUCCGGCUGGACCUUUCCUUCUGGGGAAUCCCAUGGCCUUCACUGGCUGUGGGUGGAACCAGGACUUUUACUGU